CCCUUAGAUGUUCUGGGCCGCACGCGCGCUACACUGAUGCAUUCAACGAGUCCAACCUUGACCAAGAGGUCCGGGUAAUCUUUGAAACUGCAUCGUGAUGGGGCUAGAUUAUUGCAAUUAUUAAUCUUCAACGAGGAAUGCCUAGUAAGCGUGAUUCAUCAAAUCGCGUUGAUUACGUCCCUGCCCUUUGUACACACCGCCCGUCGCUCCUACCGAUUGAGUGUGUUGGUGAGGAGUUUGGAUUGGCCUCGGAAGGUGGUUCGCCACCGUCCGUAGCUGAGAAGUUCUCCAAACCGCCCCACUUAGAGGAAGGAGAAGUCGUAACA
This 326-nucleotide ribosomal RNA is filed under the name uncultured eukaryote. RNAcentral describes it as "partial 18S ribosomal RNA". It matches the Rfam family "Eukaryotic small subunit ribosomal RNA", at positions 1470 to 1796 of the family's 1831-position model. The record is from RNAcentral.